RNAcentral lists this ribosomal RNA (398 nucleotides) under uncultured bacterium. Its description in RNAcentral is "partial 16S ribosomal RNA". It matches the Rfam family "Bacterial small subunit ribosomal RNA", at positions 523 to 918 of the family's 1533-position model. The record is from RNAcentral.
AUACGUAGGGUGCGAGCGUUGUCCGGAAUUACUGGGCGUAAAGAGCUCGUAGGUGGUUUGUCGCGUCGUCUGUGAAAUUCCGGGGCUUAACUCCGGGCGUGCAGGCGAUACGGGCAUAACUUGAGUACUGUAGGGGAGACUGGAAUUCCUGGUGUAGCGGUGAAAUGCGCAGAUAUCAGGAGGAACACCGGUGGCGAAGGCGGGUCUCUGGGCAGUAACUGACGCUGAGGAGCGAAAGCAUGGGUAGCGAACAGGAUUAGAUACCAUGGUAGUCCAUGCCGUAAACGGUGGGCGCUAGGUGUAGGGGUCUUCCACGACUUCUGUGCCGUAGCUAACGCAUUAAGCGCCCCGCCUGGGGAGUACGGCCGCAAGGCUAAAACUCAAAGGAAUUGACGGGG